Molecule: non-coding RNA, 302 nt
Organism: Rattus norvegicus (Norway rat)
Lineage: Eukaryota; Metazoa; Chordata; Mammalia; Rodentia; Muridae
Source: Rfam
UGGCACCCAAUAUGUAGGGCCUGUAUACAGGGGGCUUAUCGUGAGAUAGUAGACUCAGGUGGCUGGUAUUGUAUACAGAUAUUCCUGGGAUCCUGCCUCAGCUGAAACAAAGGUAAGUGAUAGAGUAUGAAUAUGAUAUGAAUAUGAAUAUGAUAGAAUAUGAAUAUGAAGUGAUAGAGUAAGAAUUAAGCCUACAUGAGGUCUCUGUGAAAUAAUUAAAAGAGGCAUUAAAGGUGCAAGAAAUAAAGAUAAAAAUCAAUGACUUCUUUAGAUUUUUUAUUUUGUUAAGGAUCUUUGCCCUU